RNAcentral lists this ribosomal RNA (1341 nucleotides) under uncultured fungus. RNAcentral's name for it is "eukaryotic LSU rRNA". The stretch from base 684 to 1341 matches the Rfam family "Eukaryotic large subunit ribosomal RNA", at positions 1 to 649 of the family's 3401-position model. Lineage: Eukaryota; Fungi. The record is from RNAcentral.
UAGUCGUAACAAGGUUUCCGUAGGUGAACCUGCGGAAGGAUCAUUAUUGAAUAACUGGUGUCUUCGGACCCAAACACCUCAUAAUUCCUUCUUAAUACCUGUGAACUGUUUAGAGACGUGUGAUAUGUGCUUGGACUUGUCCGAGCAUGUAUUUAUCGACUCGAAAUUUUUAUAUUAAAAACAACGUCUUAGUAUGUAUCAAAUUUAAAAUUCAAUCCAAGCAAUUGGGGAGAACUCAUAACAAAAUACAACUUUUAGCAACGGAUCUCUUGGCUCUCGCAUCGAUGAAGAACGCAGCGAAAUGCGAUAAGUAAUGUGACUUGCAAUUUUUUAGUGACCCAUCGAAUUUUUGAACGCACCAUGCACCGUUUGGUAUUCCGAACGGUAUGCCUGUUUGAGUGUCUUGACAUUCUCAAUCCCUCUGUAUUUUAUUAUGCAUGAUGGUGUAUUGGUCUUGAACGUUUUGCCGGUUUCUCGCGCAUUUUAUUAUGCAAACAGAGACUGGCUCGUUUUAAAGUGAUUAGCUGGUAAGCAUUCAUAUGCAAUUUCCCACUUAGCACCUGAGCGUAAUAAUUAUUUCGUUCACGGUCAGGGUAUAUUGCUCGGAUCAUAAACCGCUUCUAACCCGUUAGUGUGUCGGAGCAGCAAUGCUUGUUGAUGCACAACACCCACUUUUGUAAAUCAGACCUCAAAUCAGGUAGGACUACCCGCUGAACUUAAGCAUAUCAAUAAGCGGAGGAAAAGAAACUAACAAGGAUUCCCCUAGUAACGGCGAGUGAAGCGGGAAGAGCCCAAAUUUUGAAUCUCACAGUCUCAGACGCGUGCGAAUUGUAAUCUAGAGAAGUGUUUUCCGUGCCGGCCUCCGUACAAGUCCCUUGGAAUAGGGCGUCGUAGAGGGUGAGAAUCCCGUACUUGACGGAGACUACCGGUGCUAUGUGAUACAUUUUCAAAGAGUCGAGUUGUUUGGGAAUGCAGCUCAAAACGUGUGGUAAAUUCCAUAUAAAGCUAAAUAUUGGCGAGAGACCGAUAGCGAACAAGUACCGUGAGGGAAAGAUGAAAAGCACUUUGAAAAGAGAGUGAAAUAGUAUGUGAAAUUGCUAAAAGGGAAACGCUUGAAGUCAGUCGCGCCGGCCGGAAUUCAGCCUUUGGGUGUAUUUUCUGGUUGGCGGGUCAGCAUCAGUUUCGUUUGAGGUACAAGGGCAGUCGGAAUGUAGCUCCUCGGAGUGUUAUAGCCUUCUGUCGUAUGCCUCGGACGGGACUGAGGAACGCAGCAUGCCCGCAAGGGUCGGUCUUCGGACACGUUACAUGCUUAGGAUGCUGGCAAAAUGGCUUUAAACGACC